AUAAAGGCAAAAGCGCGCUUAACUGCGAGACCCACAAGUCGAGCAGGUACGAAAGUAGGUCUUAGUGAUCCGGUGGUUCUGUAUGGAAGGGCCAUCGCUCAACGGAUAAAAGGUACUCUGGGGAUAACAGGCUGAUACCGCCCAAGAGUUCAUAUCGACGGCGGUGUUUGGCACCUCGAUGUCGGCUCAUCUCAUCCUGGGGCUGAAGCAGGUCCCAAGGGUAUGGCUGUUCGCCAUUUAAAGAGGUACGCGAGCUGGGUUUAGAACGUCGUGAGACAGUUCGG
RNAcentral lists this ribosomal RNA (284 nucleotides) under Escherichia coli. RNAcentral describes it as "partial 23S ribosomal RNA". It matches the Rfam family "Bacterial large subunit ribosomal RNA", at positions 2351 to 2634 of the family's 2925-position model. Lineage: Bacteria; Pseudomonadati; Pseudomonadota; Gammaproteobacteria; Enterobacterales; Enterobacteriaceae. The record is from RNAcentral.